RNAcentral lists this ribosomal RNA (395 nucleotides) under uncultured bacterium. Its description in RNAcentral is "bacterial SSU rRNA". It matches the Rfam family "Bacterial small subunit ribosomal RNA", at positions 29 to 425 of the family's 1533-position model. The record is from RNAcentral.
AUUAAACGCUGGCGGAAUGCUUUACACAUGCAAGUCGAGCGGCAGCGCGGGGGCAACCCUGGCGGCGAGCGGCGAACGGGUGAGUAACAUAUCGGAACGUACCCCGUCGUGGGGGAUAACACAGCGAAAGCUGUGCUAAUACCGCAUACGACCUGAGGGUGAAAGCGGGGGAUCGCAAGACCUCGCGCGAUGGGAGCGGCCGAUAUCGGAUUGGCUUGUUGGUGAGGUAAAGGCUCACCAAGGCGACGAUCCGUAGCUGGUCUGAGAGGACGACCAGCCACACUGGAACUGAGACACGGUCCAGACUCCUACGGGAGGCAGCAGUGGGGAAUUUUGGACAAUGGGGGCAACCCUGAUCCAGCCAUUCCGCGUGAGUGAAGAAGGCCUUCGGGUUG